ACCCGCUGAACUUAAGCAUAUCAAUCAGCGGAGGAAAAGAAAAUAACAAUGAUUCCCCUAGUAACGGCGAGUGAAGCGGGAAGAGCUCAAAUUUGAAAUCUCCUUCGGGCGAAUUGUAGUUUAAAGAAUCGUUUUCUGGAACAGGCAGGGUAUAAGUCCUUUGGAACAAGGCAUCGUAGAGGGUGACAAUCCCGUUCACGAUCCCGCUAUUGGUCCUUUGUGAUACGAUUUCAAAGAGUCGGGUUGUUUGGGAAUGCAGCCCUAAAUGGGUGGUAAAUACCACCUAAAGCUAAAUAUUGGCGAGAGACCGAUAGCGAACAAGUACCGUGAGGGAAAGAUGAAAAGAACUUUGAAAAGAGAGUAAAAUAGUACGUGAAAUUGUCAAUAGUGAACGGUUUGGAACUAUUGUUUGUAUUUAGAAAAUCAAUUGGUCUUUAUGGCCAGUGCACUUUUCUAUGUACAGGUCAACAUCAGUUUGAUUCGGGAUAAAAAGCUUUAUGAGCCCUCGGGUGACUAAAGUGCUGUCUUGGGUUGGACUGAGGACUGCAGCAUAGUCAUAGGCUUCGGCACUACUAUUGCUUCGGAUGUUGACAAAAUGGUUUCAAGCCACCCGUCUUGAAACACGGACCAAGGAGUCUAACAUAUCUGCGAGUUUUUGGGUGUCAAACCCAUAAGCGUAAUGAAAGUGAAUAAGAUGGG
This 699-nucleotide ribosomal RNA is filed under the name Neokarlingia sp. JEL444. RNAcentral's name for it is "eukaryotic LSU rRNA". It matches the Rfam family "Eukaryotic large subunit ribosomal RNA", at positions 23 to 739 of the family's 3401-position model. Lineage: Eukaryota; Fungi; Chytridiomycota; Chytridiomycetes; Polychytriales. The record is from RNAcentral.